AGAAUGGCCUCUAGCAUCUUCUGUGUGCAUCUCUCCACCACAGCCCCCACCUCCUCUUCCCUUCCCUCCCAGCUGAAGGCAUUAGUCCUCUGGGUCAUCAGUGUUUCCAUCCUUCUGUGAUUCCAGCCUGAUUCCAGCACUCAUCUACAGCUGAUUGAACCGGACACCUGUUUCCAGCAGACUCUCUGAAUGAAAUAAUGAGACCAGGAGCAGCUUUUCUAAGGAGUCAUCCAUUUGCAGCAACAGGAGUGAUGUAAUCACCAUUAAACUUUGUUCUGGAUGCUGGAUUCAUGUUGUAUAGUGUUAUUUAAGAAUGCAUUGAGCGCCACAUAAUUACACCUA
Molecule: long non-coding RNA, 342 nt
Organism: Notolabrus celidotus (New Zealand spotty)
Lineage: Eukaryota; Metazoa; Chordata; Actinopteri; Labriformes; Labridae
Exons: 3
Source: RefSeq, a predicted model, not a curated record